Molecule: ribosomal RNA, 251 nt
Filed under: uncultured prokaryote
Description: partial 16S rRNA
Rfam family: Bacterial small subunit ribosomal RNA
Source: RNAcentral
ACGGAGGGUGCAAGCGUUAUUCGGAAUUACUGGGCGUAAAGCGCGUGUAGGCGGUCCUUUAAGUCUGAUGUGAAAGCCCCGGGCUUAACCCGGGAAGUGCAUUGGAAACUGUGGGACUUGAGUCCUGGAGAGGAUAGGGGAAUUCCCGGUGUAGCGGUGAAAUGCGUAGAGAUCGGGAGGAACAUCAGUGGCGAAGGCGGCUAUCUGGACUGUAACUGACGCUGAGGCGCGAAAGCGUGGGGAGCAAACAG